AAAGAGAAGUAAAUAAAAAACCAAACUAACCAUAAUUAUUAAAAGCAUAGAAGAAAAGGAAAGAGGGAAUAGGGGCGACUGUUGGUGAGAGGAAAACGGGAGAAAAAAAACAAUGAAGGGAAAAAGGAAGAGACUCAAAGGGGGAGAAGAGGAAGAGACUCAAAGGCAGAGAAUGUGUGGCAUCGAAGAGAAAGAGACCGAGGCUAAGCAUGUAACCUAAGAGGAAGUGACUGGCGCUGAGCGCAUUUGUGCCAAAAAGUAUGGUCGUCGUUUGGCAACGACGACGUCGUAGAAGGUUUGAGUUUUUUGUCGUAUCUUUUUUGUUUUCUCAUUUAUAAUGUUAUCUUGUUUUUACUCUUACAAAUAUGAACAUUACAUUUUUAUAACAUUAGAGUGGUUAUAUGGUGAAAAUAAAGAACAAAUAUAUUUAUUGUACAACAAAAAAAAAAUAAAAAACAAAAAAAAUACUUUGCCUUUUCGUGUGUGUGUUUUUCUUAUUGUUGUUUUCUUUUAGUUUUUUUGUCUUCUUUGUAUGUAUUUUUUAUUAAAGAAAAUUAGUAUCAGAUGAUGUCCAUCCAAAACUCCCCCAUCUGUUUAAAAAAAAUGUGUAUUUAUAGAGUGUUUUCACUUCUUUAGUUGUUUUUCCCUCUAUGUGCUUCAACAUUAGUUUUUUUUUUUUUAUAUAUGUUUCAUUUUCUUUGUUCAUAAUCUGAGUUUCUAUGCUCAUCUGAUGCAUUCACGUUUUUAGCUUAUUUGUUUUUAUCUGACUGUGCUUAUUCUCUUUUUAUGUUUAAGAAACAAAGCAUGUUUUGAAUGAAAUAAAGGUUUGUCUCCAUUUGUUGCUCUGGUUAUGGUAGCUUGUUUUCUUGCUUUUGUUUCAAACUCAAGGUUUUGACUCUUUGCCUUUGUAUCAUGCGGAUAUUAACCAGAUGAUAAUGACAUUGUUUUUCAUUUUAUUCAUUAAUUCAUUCACUCAUUAUGUGCUAUUUUGGAUUAUCUCAUUUGAUGUUUAUAAUUGUAAUAUCAAAAGAUGAGAUGAAAUGAGUGUCAAUAUUUAUUAUUUUUUGUUAUAUCACUUUUAAUUUCAUUAUAUAUAUAUAUAUAUAUAUAUAUAUAUAUAUAUAUAUUAUUAAUGGUUAUGAAUGCAAGAAAAUAUAUAGUUUUGUUUUUUUGAAAAUUUUAAGAUUUACAUAAAAUAUGAUAUAUUUUGACUAUUAUAAUUUAAUUUAUCUGACAAAAGUGAACUACUACAACUACCCUGAUUUAAUUAUAUUUAACUGAAAAAAUAUAAAUAACAAUGAUCUUCAUAUUAUCCUUGUAAAAGAUAAGUAAAUAUAACACCUAAAUUUUGCCUGUCAAGAUAAAUGCGAAAACAUGUAAAUUGGUAAUUCGAAGUAAUGCAAAAUCCGAUUAAAAAAAAAAAGCGAAAACAUGUGCAAUGUAAAAGCAUGUGAUGCAAUUUUGUGUGUGUUUUUUUUCUUGUUGUUUGAUCAACAAGGAUGAAAAAUGAUCAUUUUCAAAUUGGUUACUUGGGCGUAGACCAAUUAUAAUGAAAAUGAUCGUCUUCUGUAAAUCACGACCUUCUCACCUAUUGAUAUUGGCACUGUAAAUCACGACCUUCUCACCUCAUUUUUCUCUCCAUAGGAAAUAGUGAGUUUUUGUCUUCCGUGGAAAUCGAACCCGGUACCUGGGGGAUAAGUACUGUCGUCCAUUCAUUUCCACUGCCAAUUGAGCUCCGAUAACGGUAAGGUCGGUGAUCUGCUGUCGCACACGGGUCAAAUACAAUUGAUAAAAUGUAAAUAAAGGUAAUAACUCGAGUCGUUUUGCAAGGACUUCUGAUAUAAUAAUAUUAACAGAAUUGAAAGUAGAAAUUAGAAAGGGGGUUUUUUAGAUUUUUCUUUUAACAAAUGAGCAAAACGAUUAAUCCACUUAUUCGAGUUUCAGACGUAUCACAUAUUUUAUCAAUGAGUUUAAUUUCUAAUUUGUGAUUCUAUUCUUAUUUUACUAUCAAAUUGAUCAGACAAGCGUAAUCAAUCCUAUGUGAAUUCAAUUUCUUUGACUGGAUUAAGCUUUACAACCAUCAAAAUAUUACAAUUAACGAUCAAGCGUCGCAAAAUUAUAAUUCAAUUAAAUUAGAAAUCGAAACCACAUUAUGUCAAAUGAAUUUAAUCGAUUCUAUUGAAAUACAAUUUAAGCAGUCAUAAUAUCAAUAUAAUCAAAUAAACAAAAUAGAAUCACAAAGCGAAAUUGACAGUGUAACCUGAAUUUCAAGGUGUUGAUGAAACUCUGAACUUGUAUUAAUCUUAUAAAAUUAGCCUUCCUUGAAAUUAAAAUAAAAAGUGUUUAUUUUUUUUAUCAAUCUGAAUCCUAAAAUUUUAUGUCAUAGAAAGGAAAGAAAACUCCCAAUAUAUAGUACUCAAUUUUGGGAUUCAAACCCUAAACCCUAAAAUUAUUACAAAAGUCAAGAUUAUGAUAUAUGCUUAGGCCUAGUAAAGUUCGAUAUUAGACUUUUAUUCCAACACAAAAGUUGUAGCUCUGAUUUUUAGCUUUCCAACACCUACUCGUAUGCGCCAAUCCGAUAUCUAGAGCUCAAGUUAUGGCCUACAGAGCGAGCAAGGGUCGAAAUGCAAAUAAUAAAAUUAUAACUCAAUUUCGACCCAAAGUUUAGAAACAAGCUAAAAAAAUUACUUUAAGCUAUAAAGAAUUUUUAAAAUACCAAACUAAAAAGCUAGAAACAUGUGCCUAAAUGCUAUGAUCAAAUUCCCCCACACUUAAGCUUUUGCACUCGAUUCCAAAUAUUCUCAUGAAUGCAAAGUGGUGAGAGAAAAUAAAUAUUUCUAGCUGAAGGCAAUCAUGAAUAGUUUUUUUUAUCACACCACAAAUAAGAGGACAAGUUAACUAAAAAAUGCAUCAUAAAUGAUAGAGUCCUCCCAAGAUAUAAAAUUAUAUCAACCACUCAAAGUGUUUGGGCUAUUGUUUACACUCAAAUCACAUCAUGAAAGCUAGCACUACCAUAUGCUUGACAAGCCUCUAAUAUCUAUAUUUGAAACACAUGCACAUAAUGAUCAAAAUAUCUUUAUUCAGGUUGUAACCUAGCCAACGUAAGAUAAUUCUAUGGAGACUAAGGCUGAAAAUCAAAGAGGAUAAAUGAGUAAUGAUUAAGAGACAAAAACAACAUUAAGAAGUAACUCAACAAAAUAUCAUUGACUUUUAUUCUCACACUCUGUUUGCUUACAACACAACAAUUUUCCUCAUUUUGUUCCUCAUUUUUUUUCUUUUCUUUUUUUCUCUUUGUUUUUUUUGUUUUUUGUUGUUUUUUUUAUAACCCUCAAAUUUAAACAAGCAAGUUGAGCACCCUCAUACUUAUUUAAGGAAAGACUCCUUUUUACUCCAAGAUUGGGUCAAUUCAUUGUUUUUUACUUUUAGGCUUGUAAUGAGCUAUAUAACAAAGAAUGAGAUAAUUAGGCUCAAAUGGCUUAAAUAAAUGGAUAAUUGUAAGGUAAGCUUAUUUGGCUAGUAGCUUAACAAGAAACAAAUGCCUAGAUCAUUUCAAUAUAUGCAUGCGGACAAGAGUCAAGUCAAGUUCAAGCGUAACUAGCAAUCAUGAGUGAGAUAACACACAAGAAAAACAGAUGGAAAAAUGUAUUCCAUUCAUAAUAAGGCUAAAAAAUCUCACAAAGGUUAAUGACCUAUCACAAAUGAUACACAAUUUAGCAUUUUAAUCCAAUUUAUUUUAUCAAGAAUGCAAAGAUACUAUCCAAUCAUGCUAGUCCAAACAAACUCACAACAUUUACAACCACAAAAUCUGAUGAAAAAGCAGGCAGUGCAAUAUCCAUUUUUUUUUAAUAUUUUUAAUAUUUUUUAUUUUUUAUUUAUUUUUUGAAAUAUAACAAAUAAAAUACUAAAUAAUACUCCCACACUUAAAUUACACAUUAUCCUCAAUGAAAGUAACAAGUAUAAAAUAAGAGUAAGGAAAUGGAGCUCCCUGUUCAAACUUCAGUGUAGGUGGGCUUUUCCAAAAAGAGUUCUUCUAUGGUAGCAUCUUCAAGCACAUAGCUCUCACAGAAUAGCUUGAGGCGUUGUCCAUUUACUUUGAACACUUUCUCGAUGUUUUCACUUUUUAUUUCCACUGCACCAUGAAAGUAACAAGUAUAAAAUAAGAGUAACGAAAGAGAGCUCCCUGUUCAAACUUCAGUGUAGGUGGGCUUUUCCAAAGAGAGUUCUUCUACGGUAGCAUCUUCAAGCACAAAGCUCUCAUGGAAUAGCUUGAGGCGUUGUCCAUUUAUUUUGAACACUUUCUCGAUGUUUUCACUUUUUAUUUCCACUACACCAUGAGGAAAAAUGUUAGUAACAUCAAAAGGGCCAAUCCACUUGGAUCGAAGUUUCCCAGCCAUAAUUUUCAAACGGGAGUUGAACAAUAAAACAUUUGGCCAAUGGAAAAUUCCUUCCUAGAAAUCAUCAUAUCACGAAAGUACUUAGUUUUCUCCUAAUAGAUCUGAGAGUUCUCAUUAGCUUCAAGUCUAAGCUCUUCAAGUUGUUGCAAUUGAAACUUUCUCUCCAAAUCUGCUUUCUCUAUCUCAAGGUUACAAUUCUUGACUAUCCAAUAAGCAUGGUGCUCUAAUUCCAUUGGGAGGUGGCAUGCCUUUCCAAACAGAAGUCGAUAAGGGUACAUCCCCAUUUGGUGUUUUGUAGGAUGUUCUAUGAGCCCAAAGAUCUUCUUCAAGUCGGUGGCUCCAAUAUUUCCUGUUUGGCUGCACCAUCUUUUCUAAGAUCUGUUUAAUUUCCCUGUUUCAGAUUUCAGCUUGCCCAUUAAUCUUGGGAUGAUGAGGUGUAGAAACUCUAUGCAUAACGUCAUACUUCCGAAGCAAAGGGUCCAUGGUGCAGUUGCAAAAAUGAGUGCCUUGAUCACUUAUGAUUGCCCGAGGUAUUCCAAACCUGAAAAAAAUAUUUGAUCUGAUAAAACCUGCAACAACUUUAGAAUCAUUAGUCCUAGUGGGUACUACUCCCACCCACUUCGAAACAUAAUCAAAAACUAGUAAAAUUUAGACAAAACCAAAAGAUACAGAAUAGGGGCCCAUAAAAUCAAUGCCCCACACAACAGAAAAGCAUAGGUUGUUGAGGCAUAUCACUCCUACGAGUGAUUGUUGUUCCUGUUAUUUGGCACUAUUCACAAUUUUUGUAAGUCUCAAAAGCAUCUUUAAACAAAGUGGACCAAAAGAAAUUUGAGUCUAAAACUUUUCUUGCUGUCCGUUGAGGGCCAAAAUGUCCACUGCAAGAAAAACACCAUUUUGUGGCCAACUUUAUAAAUAUUUUGUGGCCGAAUAAAACCCUCACAAAUUAGUGACCAAAAAAGCCCUCACAAAUGUCAAAAUUGAAAUUGGUCUUUAUUUGUGGCUGAAAAAGCCCUCACAAAUUUUUAAAUAUUUAACUGGAUUUUGUGGCUGCCUAAGCCCUCACAAAAUCACAACAUUGUGAUUUUGUGAGGGCUUAGGCAGCCACAAAAUCCAGUUAAAUAUUUAAGGAUUUUGUGAGGGCUUUUACAGCCACAAAAAAUCAAUUUUGUGAGGGCCAAAUCCGUCACAAAGGCAGACGGGACAAGUGGCAUUUGUGGCUGCAAAGGCUGCCACAAAGGAAUGCGCACGUGGCAUUUGUGGCUGCAAAGGCCGCCACAAAGGAGGCCCAAGACAGUUGGGGUUUAUGGCCGCUUAGGCCGUCACAACUGAUUGUACCGUUGCAUUUUCUGGCGGCAAUGGCCGCCACAAAUGGCAUUAUAGCCGUUGGCUUUUCUGGCCGCCCAGGCCGCCACAAACGUCAUGUAUCCGUUGGCAUUGUGGCUGCUUUGGCCGCCACAAAUGCUCAACGUGACCCUAUAUAUAUUUUUCUCCCCUCCUCCUUCAUUUUUUCACAUCCAACUUCUCUCUACAACCUCAUUCUAACCAUUCUCUCCUCCUUCUCUCUACACAAAAUUACAAGCUUCAUUUAAAUUUGGUAAGUAUAAAUUAUAUUAUAUAUGUAGUUUUAUAAUUUUAUUUUUUAAUUUGAUAUAACUAAUUAAUGUUAUUGAUUUUUAUUUUUACAGUGCUUGUUAAUUAUUUCGAAGACUUGCAAGCAUCGUACGUGAGUGAAAGCUUGAAGUCAGACGCUACUCGGC
This 6151-nucleotide long non-coding RNA is filed under the name Cicer arietinum (chickpea). RNAcentral describes it as "long non-coding RNA (CARI_LNC002907)". The record is from RNAcentral. Lineage: Eukaryota; Viridiplantae; Streptophyta; Magnoliopsida; Fabales; Fabaceae.